Molecule: unclassified non-coding RNA, 404 nt
Filed under: soil metagenome
Description: partial contains 5.8S ribosomal RNA, internal transcribed spacer 2, and large subunit ribosomal RNA
Rfam family: 5.8S ribosomal RNA (bases 1-122)
Source: RNAcentral
GAUGAAGAACGCAGCAAAAUGCGAUACUUGGUGUGAAUUGCAGAAUCCCGUGAACCAUCGAGUUUUUGAACGCAAGUUGCGCCCGAAGCCUUUUGGCCGAGGGCACGUCUGCCUGGGCGUCACGCUUCGCGUCGCCCCCCACAAUUCUCCGUAAAGGGAACAUGUGUUUUGGGGGCGGAUAUUGGUCUCCCGUGCUCAUGGCGUGGUUGGCCGAAAUAGGAGUCCUUUCGAUGGACGCACGAACUAGUGGUGGUCGUAAAAACCCUCGUCUUUUGUUUCGUGCUGUUGCUCGCAAGGUAAACUCUUUAAAAACCCCAAUGUGUCGUCUCUUGACGACGCUUCGACCGCGACCCCAGGUCAGGCGGGACUACCCGCUGAGUUUAAGCAUAUCAAUAAGCGGAGGA